This is an unclassified non-coding RNA of Bradysia coprophila, 8591 nucleotides long. Lineage: Eukaryota; Metazoa; Arthropoda; Insecta; Diptera; Sciaridae. The record is from RefSeq and is a predicted model, not a curated record.
GGAAAAAAUCAAUACUGCUUGUGUGACGUCAAGUAAACGAACGAAACGACACACACCAAAGUUUCACCGAAUUAAACGAAAAAAAGAAGAAAUUUGUUACGACUUGUGCUUAGGGUUUUUUGUGAUAUUUUCGGCAGAAAAAAUGUUUAAAACUAGAAAAUUUCACGCGCAAAACAAUGUCCGUACGUAUGCGGAUCGAUUCGUGUAACAGACGUGCCAUUUUACAAAAGUUUUCUGUGUAAAAAAGUAUUAUAAGACCACAUGCCGGUUUGAAUGAAUUCAGAGGCGGAGCAAAAACACAUUCGCGAUAAAUAUUGAAAAUAAUUUAAAAUCCAAAAAAAAAUUCAAAAAUUCACAACAAAAAUAAUGUUUCGUGGAAAACUGUAAAAAAAUGUUAAACGACGAUCAGUGUGCGUGCUACAUGUGUAUGUUGUGAAAUUUCCAGUAACAAUCUGGUGUGUGCCACGCGUGCAAACGGGAAUUUAGCGUUAAUUUUCCGGCAACCAGAUUAAGAUGGCCGACAUGCCCGAUUUAUCGCAUCUGACCGCUGAAGAGCGAGCUAUCAUCGAGGGUGUGAUGAUGCGCCAGAAACAGGAGGAGGAACGAGAAAACGAGAUAAUGAGGCGAAAACAAGACGAAGUAGCAGUGCUCGAAGAUACGAUACGGCAACGAUCGGAGCAGCAAAAGAAAGCUGGAGUGGAAUUAGACGCAACGUGCCACAUUUGUUUGAAGACCAAAUUUGCGGAUGGUGUCGGACACAUAUGCCACUAUUGUAAUAUUAGGUGUUGUGCGCGAUGUGGAGGAAAGGUCACCUUGCGUAGCAAUAAGGUAAUUUGGGUCUGUAUCCUAUGCCGCAAAAAACAAGAACUUUUAUCGAAAACCGGUCAGUGGAUAAAUAAAGUACCUGAAAGUGACAGCUACAUUCGUCGCAUCGAGCCUCAUAUGAGUGGAUCACUUCUACCGGAUUCACAAGAUAUGUCAGAUAAGCGACCGAAAUUGGAACGGGCCCGAAGCGCUGCAGAAAAAGAAAAUCAACCGCUACAACGAUCGGGCAGCCAAUUGAGACGCCAAUAUUCACAGCAAGAGCCACCGCGACGAAUGUCCUCAGAGGGUGUGGAUAGUACAAUGAUGCUGCCACAACGGCGAAUGCAAUCACAGAACCAACAAUACCAACAGCAACAACAACAACAACAACAACAACAAAUUCAACAUCAGCAGCAGCAGCAGCAACCACAACAUCAACAGCCACACCAUCAACAGUACCAACAACCAUCCGUUUAUCAAAGUCACCAACAACAAAUUGGUACAAACAAUCCGCACCAGUUUCAUGCACAACAUUCUGUGAUCGGUCACACACAUUCGAUGUAUCCAGAUGAUGAUCCGAAGUAUUAUCAGGGUGAACUUGAUGGACUUAUGCGUCAACAUCCACACCUGGUGCAUCCGAGGCAACAACAGCAUUACACGCAACAAAAACAACACGAUAUCCAGCAUCAUUCAAUGCCACAAACACUAGGUCUUAGUUCAGACGUACAAAACAAGCACAAACGACCUCUCGGAGGACCAUAUCUAACGCAACAACGAUCAUUUAGCAGUUCCGAGGAGGAACUACGUUGCACACCCACUGAUUUUGAUGCGGCCACUCACACCAAGCCACUUAAUCAUACUCGGCUCAGCUCAAAUCCAAUCGAUAAUCCAACAAAACUGGAUGUCAAUCAUCAUAAUUACAAUCGUUCAAACCAUCAACGACAUCCAAUCAAUCAAAAGCAUAUUUUAACAACAACGGAACAAUCAUUAACCACAUAUGAUCGGUAUCCGAUCGAUCCAGAUCCAUAUUGGGAUGAACAAGCGGACACACGGCGAUUUACCGAACGAAGAAAGAAAACGGUAAGAUUUGAUGGACAGGACUCGGACGAUUGGAGCAGAUGGGAAGCGGAACGGCAAGGUAGUCAAGAUUCUGCCACAAAGGAUUCGGGUAUCGAAACUAGCAGUACGUUUACGAGUAGCGAAGAUUCGAAUCGUGGUGAUGUGCCGAAGAAUCCUGUAAAUUGGCAAGUAUCAUCGGAUGGCCUACGUAUUAUCGGUCACAUGAUACUACGUAAAAGUAAUGAAGGUGAUGAUAUAUUGGGUUUGAAAAUUGUUGGUGGUCAAAUAUUAUCCAGCGGGCGAUUAGGUGCAAUUAUUGAAAAAGUUAAGCGGGGAUCGAUAGCUGAUCAAGAAGGACAUAUCCGACCAGGUGAUGAAGUUAUUGAAUGGAACGGAAGACCAUUACAUGGCUUAUCGUCGGCUGAGGUUGCCGAUUUAGUUGCCGAUAGUAGGCAAGAAUCUCAAGUAGAAUUAAUUGUAUCACGCUUAAUAGCAGCUACAAAUCGAAGAGCUGUUCAGUCAUCUUGGAUUCAUUCUCAUUCCCCUACUAGGUUUUAUCACAAAGAACCGUAUGAUCGACGUGACAAGCCAGCAGUAUUAGUUACAUCACCCGGUUCGCCAGACAUACACAUAAGUGGUCGUGGAACAACCGCUCAAACAACACGUUACGCAAAUCGACUAACACCAGCUGGACCAAUACCGAUCGAGUCAAACAUUGGUGGACGCAUUCAAAUAAAACUGGGCUUUGAAUCGAGUUCUUUGCAAUUGAUUGUUACAAUUAUUUGUGCAGUCGGACUGACGCUUAGAGCGAACGGAGCUUCUAGGAAUCCAUAUCUUAAAAUUUACUUGCUUCCCGAUCGAAGUGAUAAAUCGAAACGUCGUACGACAACAUUAGCCAGCACAAACGAUCCUCGUUGGGGUCAAACGUUCAUUUUUUCUGGUUUCAGGAGGACUGACUUAAAUAAUAAAGUACUCGAGAUUACUGCUUGGGACUAUCUACGCUUUGGUGCUAAUGAUUUUCUUGGUGAAGUAGUUCUAGGUUUAUCGAAUCAUCCGCUGGAUGAUGAAGCUGAAUGGUAUACAUUACAUUCGCAUCAUGAUUCCCACAACUACCACUUACGUAGAGAUGAUGAUAUGGAAAUGAUAUUAACUCCUACUGAUCAUUUAUCACCGCCAAGCACAACAUCCCGCCUAAGUGAUUCGGAUACAACAUCUGAAUGUGAUAUUGAUGGCAUUACGGCAAGCCGAGAUGGUGCAAGUAUAUCAUCAUUAGGAAGUUCAUCGAGUCCUCCACCAGAGGCGGAGUCUUUGGAAAGGCGAUCUCGGCGGGACAUGUCACCGCAAGGUCGUAAACGAGCAACUGCAAUGGUAGCACGUGAUUGUCGAACGGUUUCGGGGAUCGGACAAAGCUAUCACAGUAAUCAAGUGACAUCACAUAACGUAAUUCCACCACGAAACGGUACAAUGUCUUUAAAUCAGCGAAGUCAUUCGGCUGCGCCAAGCGACCAUUAUCGUAGCAAUAGUCCACGAAGGGGUUCCUUAUCACCACCAGAUGAGCGGUACGCCGAUUAUCCAGCUCUUCCGAUUCAACAGUAUGGAUCCAGAUUUCAGUCACGGUCUGCCACAGCCACUCCAACUGGAUCGCCAAAGAAACGACAACUUCCACAGGUACCACACACAUCGAAUAGUCGAUCGGCGCUGAGAGAGCGGUUAGUGCAGGAUUUUGAGGAGCGCGGUGUCGGACGUUUUAGUCGGCAUCGGGCUAGACAAACGCAUCAUCAGCAUCAACAAACGUAUCGAAGUACUGGUAUGGGCGGCUGGGAGCGACACUAUGCCGGUUUAUCGGAUAGUGAUUUGACAAUGCAUUCGCUGGAGCCAAGAUUAAGACCGAGACAUUCGUUGUCUCCAGAUAAAGACUUUAUGGGCGAUUUCGGUGAUUCGGAUAUGGAAUCGGUAGUUAGUGUUACCUCAAGUGCAUUUUCAACACAAUCGGAACGACCACGAGGAUCUCGUGGACUCAGCAGUGACUAUGAUGUACGUGAUCGAGGACGUGGCCGGAACAGUAAUGGUGGCCGAGAUUCAUAUCGGGACAGGCACCAUCGUGAACGGGACUCAGACCGAGGGCUGAGCGAUCGGGAACAAAGAGAAUCAUUUAACCGAAGUUCAUUUAACCGCAGUAUGUCGAAUGCGGAGGGAACACCAGAUGAUAAGAUUGAUGGUAGCUUAAGUGAUACAGCAGUUAGUUUACAAGGAUUGGAGAUGUCACGACGACGACCUGAUCAACGUUCGCCGAAAAGUGAAACGUCACUCAAUCGGGACAGAGAUCGAUUCGGCUCUGGUAUGGGAAAGAAAAGUAACUCCACAUCACAAUUGUCGGCCACAGGUCGAAAGAGACGUAUGGGUUUCGGAAAAAAGGGUAAGAAUUCCUUUACUGUACAUCGAAGCGAAGAAAUACUUCCAGGGGAAAUGCGAGGGGGCCUGUCGCGAGGCUCUUCAGCAUCAAGCGAUGGCGAGGGAAGUGGUGGCGACGGUGACAGAUGGUCACCGUCUUUGCGCAUGGCUGAUGGUGGACCGUUGUCCGAUUUUAUUGACGGUUUGGGUCCGGGUCAGUUAGUCGGACGACAAGUUCUCGGCGAUCCGUCUAGAGGUGAUAUUCAAUUGUCAAUGUGCCAUCAAAAAGGUUAUCUGGAAGUGGAGGUCAUACGAGCAAGAGGAUUACAAUCAAAGCCUGGUUCGAAAAUUCUUCCCGCGCCUUAUGUAAAAGUAUAUUUAGUGUCUGGUAAAAAAUGUUUAGUUAAAAUGAAAACAACGACUGCUAGAAAAACAUUAGAUCCAUUAUAUCAACAACAAUUGGCAUUUCGAGAACCGUUUGCUGGGUGUAUUCUGCAGGUUACUGUUUGGGGCGAUUAUGGUCGCAUCGAGGGAAAAAAAGUGUUCAUGGGUGUUGCCCAAAUUAUGCUGGACGAUUUAAAUUUAUCGAAUAUUGUCAUUGGAUGGUACAAAUUAUUUGGAACAACAUCACUGGUCAGUGGACCACCCAGUUUGGGUCUAUCUAGACGUUCUUCAUUAGCAUCACUCGACUCACUUAAGCUAUAAAACCAAAUGAAGUCAUUCAUGUACCGUUCGUUUUUUUUGGUUCCGUUUUUUAUUUUAUUCGAAUUUUUCUUUUUGUGAUUUUGUCAAUUGUCCAGUUAUUCCACCGCUCCAAUCCAUUUAUUCAAGGCGCAAACACAAACAUCAUGUAACCAUAAAAUUUGCUGUGUUUUUGUUGUACGCAAAUACCAUCCUACUAUCAAACUGGACUCUAAAUUUCAUUUAUUUUUUUACUGAAAUCUGCAAUGACGUAGAACACUGACCUAACAAUUUGACCUAGAACAAAAGUCUUCAGUCUCAAGGACACGUAUGUCAUGCAUGCAUAACAUUUGACAACAAAGUCUAUCAAUUCGAAAAAUGACACAGACACAAAAUUGAGAUGCGGGAAAGGUAAUUGUGCAUCACAUUUGGUCGCACGUCUCACUGUGAUUCAAAUGUGACCACCGGAUUUUCGUAUGACAUAUUUUACGUGCAAAAGUUUGUUUGCAUCAGGAAAUAGUGUUAUCCAGAUGGUGAUCAUAGAUGAAUACGCAUCGGCAUAAAAGUCAUAUAACCGGCCGGUGAUGUUAUUUGAGUUUUACAUAGCUGAUGCGACUGACAUCCUUUUUGUAAUACAAAAUAUUCCCGGAACAACCAGACUGGCUGGAAGUGUAGGAAAAACAGACACACAAGGGGUGGAGGUGUUUGAAAUAAAUGUACCUUUCCCGAGACUCCUCAGUUAAAUUCACUUUUGCACUUGUGUGGUAAGGUAGUUUUCACGUCAAAAACGAACAUUUUAAAGCUGUAACUGUACAGUCACUCUCUCUCUUUCUAUUUUUGUUUUUUCUCUUACUUAAUUUGAACUGUUGUUUCCUUUUCUAUAUGAUUUAACUCUUUAUUGUGUUUGUAAUUUAUUGUGUUUAACAACUGUUGAUGUUAUACAAGAUCGAUACAGAUUUGGCGUAUCUAUUAGACACUACGUUCAUAAUUUAAAUUUUGAUCAAUUUUUUCUAUAAAUCUGUCUAACAUCCACUUCUAAGAAAGAAAAAGAAAACCUAAAAAUAGAAAUCAAAAUUUUACCACUUAUCACUAGAAAAAUUAUUUAGUAGACUCUCGGAUCGUCUUUCCCGUUCUAGUAAAUAGUAAAUCUACACUGCUUCUUGGACAAAGAAAAAAGACACUCUUCAGAGACAGAUGGAGAGAGAGAGAGAGAAAAAAUAUGUAUAUACUAAAAAGAAGAAAAUUAUCCUAAUCAGUAAAGAAAACAUACAUAAAGCCUUCCAAACAAAAUAUAUUAUUAAAAAAUAAAAACUAAACUCCUUUAAAUAAAAAAAAACGAUUGAACGUAAAAAAAGAGAAUAAAGUAAUAAAAUAAAGAAACUACUGCAUGAGACAUAAGGGGAAAGAAGGUUUUAAAAAGAGGAACUUCUUUGUAAAUAAUUAAAAGGAAAUGUUAGACAAACAAAUAAUAAAUUUAUUGUUGAACAUUAAGAUUUUAUAAUUUACUUUGAAAUAAUUUGCCUUGAAUAUCAUCUAACUAAAAACCCAUUAUUAUAUGAGUUUUUAUUUCAAUUUUUUCCGUUUUGCGGUUUGUACAGACACAAUUAAUUCUAUAUUUUGAUAAAACAAAGAAAACAAAACAAUGAAGACAAAGAAAUUUAGCUUAAAAAUAAACUUAACAAAUUGUCAUACAAAAAUUUAUAACAAGACACACGAUAAAGAAAGCAAGGAAAAAAAUAAAUUAAACUAAAAGAAAAAUAUUCAAAGCCAAAAAAACCAUAUCUUGAAAUUUCUAUUUACAACCAAAAUAUUUAAAAUUAUAAAUUAACUUUAAAUUUAAAAAAAUGGAUUAAAAAUUUGAAGAAAUAAGAGAACAUAGUCUGGGUGUUUAUGUCAUCUUGUUGGAUUCCGAGAUUCUUAUAUGUCGUAUUCUGCUUGGGAUUGUCGGAAAUGUUUCAGAACUAAAAUGGUUUAAAAAAAACAAGUUUUUCCGAUAAUUUUACCUAUCGAUAAGUCAAGUCACUUAAACUGAUCAAUUUUUUUAAAAUAAUAAUAAAAAAAGAAGAUUUUGUUCGUUCCAUUCGAUGAAAAUGUAUGAAACUGUCAAAUUUUGUGUGUGUCACCCUCGUAUCUGCAUCUGCUUGACCUCCUUGAUUCUACCCGUAUAUCAAAGUGUAGCAACAUUUAUCUCGCGCUUCGUUCUGGCGGCAACUUCACACAGUAGUAAAUGCUUAUUGAAAUGGGUUGUGAUGAAAGUUCAUGGUUUGACCGUCGAAACUGAUCGCCAGCGCCAAUGUCAACAUUUUCUUUUUGAUUUUUCACUUCAAUGAUCUAUUGAAAUUGAGACAUAGACUCAAUAAACCAUUUUAUUCAACGUAUGCUACAUGCCUGAAACAUAAAUAGUUUCACAAAUUGUGUAUUUACUGAGCGUCAUAGACCUGAAACGUCAUUCUUCUUCUUCUUAAAAUGGCGAAAAUCACAACCCAUUAUUGUGUUAUCGAGCAAAACGAAAAAACUUAUAUCGUGAAAUACUUUCAGAUCGUUCGAGAACUUGCGUUUAUUUAAGUCGGAGUUUAUAAACAGCGGGUCUCCGACACUCAAUAGACAAAAUAUAGUUCCAGACAUAUUCUGAAAUGCUUUUUAAGCGAACACUAUUCAAUUAUCCAUAAAAUAACUCCCAUCUCACUACUCCAAUAUUAUUCAUCUACUUAACCUCAAGAAUUGUAUUCUGCGUCGACCUCACUCAAAUUUCAAAAUAGUAUUUUUUGCUACGAGUGAUGAAAAGUGGAAUUUUUCAGGACUAGUUGGACAAGCUUCCGACGGGUCCUAAAAAGUUCCGCUUUCAUCAAUAGUUACGAGCUAUGAGAAGUUGAACUUUUCGAUGAUAGUUUGCGUGUCGAAUUCCGUCGAAUUUCAGUUUUCAAGCGCAAAAAAAAAUUGUUUCGCCUCUACAGUCUACAAGCCAACGCAGGUUUCCUAUAGGCUCGACACAAAUGCGAUACUGCUUUUCAAACAAAGUUGAAUGGAACGAGCGUCUUCCACAUAAAAUAGUUAUUAACUCAUACCGGUUGAAUCUUUGUGUUAGUUUCUUGUGGGUAAAUGUGUGAUUAGCUCGUGAAGGAAAGAAGAAGUUGCGUAAUUUAAUUCGGGUAGUUCAAAGGUGAACCCGUUCGAAUAGCAACCAGAUUGCCUUUUUUCAGACAGACAGUUCCCAUAUUUUUUUUAAAAAUAUUUUGUUAAUCAAAAAUACUUGUAAUCCCACGGAUGACCUUUUUUGUAACAUAACCGCAUGAACUAAUGGCGACGGAAAUCAGAUUUUUUUAAUAAAAAUAUAAGAAAAAAAUAUCUAAAUUAAAAAAAUGCUUCUUUGGAAUUGACAAAUUAUAAAAUUUAACUACAAAAAUAAAUUAAAAAUUUAAAAAUAAAAUUUAAAAACGAAAUGGAAACUUCAAAUAAUAAAAAAGAGAAAAGGUAAGAAAGUCAACCCUCAACACAGAAAAUCUUAAAAUAUUAUUCAUAAAAAUAAAUAAAAACUCAUAUAAUUACAUUAUUAUAAAGGAAAGUACAGCUUUUUUACGAUAAAAUACUUAGCAAAAUGAUACCACAUAAAUUUAAACAAAAAAAGAAGAAAAUUUAAAAAAAUUAAAGAAACCAAA